Non-coding RNA from Podarcis muralis (Common wall lizard), 1036 nucleotides. Lineage: Eukaryota; Metazoa; Chordata; Lepidosauria; Squamata; Lacertidae. The record is from RefSeq and is a predicted model, not a curated record.
GUAGACACACCCAGCUCUCACAGUAUAUAACAAAAAUGUCAAAAUGUCUGUCCUACUAGGCGAGUUCUGAAAAAGGCACCUAAGCCAACCUGCUGUAGAGUACAUAUUCUAAAAGACUGGCUCAGCAUAUGAAUGUGUGUGAACAACUCCCAUUACAAUCCCCCCCUUUAAUAACCAACUGCUACAUUUUAUGUGUAAUUUGCUGUGUUAUACAGUUAUCUUUCUCUGUUUGCUAGGAGCUUAGUUGGUUUUAAACUGUGAUUUUUCAGGCUAAAGCUUUGUUUGAGUUAAGAAUUGCCUUUUCUUUCCACAGCAGAAGGAGAUCUAGUGUAGCUAAAUAGGCCUCCGUCCUCCAAUCUCUCUCCAUCCCCGGCCCCUCCCCCACCACAGAAGGAUCUCGUAUUGACUUUGAGAGAUCAACAAUAAGCUGGUUAUCGACAAACACCGAGAUCCCUGGCAUAGGGUAACUCAUGAGUGGAGAUGGGAUAGCAGGUGCUGUCUACUGGGAAGAGUGAAGAUCAAGGACCCCAAGGAUGGAAUGAUAAAGUAAAGAAACUCCUCUCCUUGCAUAACACUUAUCAAAACUUUAUUCAGUUUCCCAACAUCUUCUGAAAAGUGACAGCUACAUAGUCCAAAGUGAAGUGAAACAAUAUAUUAUAUGAGGAUGGAUAGCUGUCAGCAAUGGAGAACCUUCCCUCCAGAUGCCUUUUUCAAUCCAGGCCAUAUGUUAUCAGUAGUAAUUUCAUUGCUUGGAACCCAAUGGCUGUUUGACAGCUGCCAUGGAGUCCAUUUGGAGAUGCACAAUCUCAUUUGCCAGUAGUUCACCAUGGAUGCAGUGAUGGAGACCAAGUUGGUUGGCUUUGAAAAUGGAUUAGGCAAAUGCAUGGCGAGCAAGACCGCCAAUGGUACUAGUCUUGAUGGCUGUGUGCUACUUCAGGAUAGUAUGCCACAACAGCCGCCCAAAUAUUACUUGCUAAAAAUUGGAAAACACAAGAACUACCAACAGUGGAAGAUUGGCAGAUGAAGAUGAUGGACU